Molecule: transfer RNA, 74 nt
Filed under: Candidatus Dojkabacteria bacterium
Lineage: Bacteria
Description: tRNA-Gly
Rfam family: tRNA
About the family: Transfer RNA (tRNA) molecules are approximately 80 nucleotides in length. Their secondary structure includes four short double-helical elements and three loops (D, anti-codon, and T loops).
Source: RNAcentral
GCGAGAGUAGUUCAGUUGGCUAGAACGUCACUUUGCCAAAGUGAAGGUCGCGGGUUCGACUCCCGUCUCUCGCU